GGAGAGGUGCCAGAGCUGGUUGAUCGGGACACUCUCGAAAAGUGUUGUGCUGGAAACAGUACCGUGGGUUCGAAUCCCACCCUCUCCGCCA
RNAcentral lists this transfer RNA (91 nucleotides) under Patescibacteria group bacterium. RNAcentral describes it as "tRNA-Ser". It matches the Rfam family "tRNA". From Rfam's summary of the family: Transfer RNA (tRNA) molecules are approximately 80 nucleotides in length. The record is from RNAcentral.